This is a non-coding RNA of Pelobates cultripes (western spadefoot toad), 247 nucleotides long. Lineage: Eukaryota; Metazoa; Chordata; Amphibia; Anura; Pelobatidae. The record is from the annotation of a GenBank genome assembly.
UUUGUAUGUACUGUUACCAUUGGAAUGCAGUGGUGUACUUGUGUGUAGUGUUUGCGUUUGAAUGCAGUAAUGUGUGAUUGUCUGUAGUGUUGGCUUUUAAAUGCAGGUGUAUUUUUGUGUGUAGAGUUGGUGUUUGUAUAUAAUCUAAGCGUUUUAAUACAGGAAUGUGUUUGUAUGUAAUGUUUGUAUUUGCAUGCAGGGGGUUGUUUGGAUGUAGUGUUGUGUACAUUUGUGUGUAGUAUUGGUG